AUGCAAGGCAAGAGGACCGACCUGCGGAAGGUCGGCUCGGAGCGCAUCGACCACGGCAUGCGGGUCAAGUUUAACCCCCUGGCCCUGCUGCUGGACUCAUCUCUGGAGGGCGAGUAUGAUCUGGUGCAGAGGGUCAUCUAUGACGUGGAUGACCCCAGCCUGCCCAAUGACGAGGGCAUCACAGCCUUGCACAACGCCGUCUGCGCCGGCCACACCGAGAUCGUCAAAUUCCCGGUGCAGUUUGGCGUGAACGCCAACGCUGCCGACAGCGAUGGCUGGACUCCGCUGCACUGUGCGGCCUCCUGUAAGAACGUGCAGGUGUGUAAGUUCCUGGUGGAGUCCGGGGCUGCUGUGUUCGCCACCACCUACAGUGACAUGCAGACAGCGGCAGACAAGUGCGAGGAGAUGGAGGAGGGCUACGCACAGUGUGCUCCCUGUUCCUCUACGGUGUACAGGAGAAGAUGGGCAUCGUGAACCGUGGGGUGGUGUACGCCCUGUGGGACUACGAGGCUGAGGACGAUGACGAGCUGGCCUUCCAGGAAGGCGACUGCAUGACGGUGCUGCGGCGCGAGGACAAGGACGAGAGAGUGGUGGUGGGCCCGCUGCGGAGACCGAGAGGGCUACAUUCCAAGAAACCUGCUAGGGCUGUAUCUGAGGAUCAAGCCACGGCAGAGGAGCUUGGCUUAAAUUAUAUCGGCUCACGUUCCACCCUACUCGCUGAAAACUACUCCGAUUUGAAGUUACUUUUUGAAAGGCGAAUUAAGAACCUAAAAGUCCAGUGCUUACAUUUCACACUUCUGGUCUUUUGGAUGUCAAAGUAAAGCAUUCCACUUCAAGCUUUUGAACCUGUCUGUGAAAGACUCAUAUCAUGCUAAAGGGUUUUCAACCUAUGUAUGGAUAAUAUUCACAUGGUCACGCUGUUUCCUUUUCACUGCAGGAAUGUAUACACCGCGCAACAUUUGUAAUGGAGACUUCUGAACAGUGUUUUUUUUUGUAGACGUGUGAUUUUUCUGAGCAGAAUCCAUUUUGUAAGGGUUUGUAACUGUGGCAGUUGGAAAUGUAAAGCUUUUUCUACGUCAUGGCAAGCUUAUAUCCACACAAGAUACAGUAUAUGAAAACUUUGGUUGUGUAUUUGACUAUUUUCCUUUAUCUUCCGUUAUCACAAACAAUCUUGCUGUGGGUGUACAGUGCCUUCAGAAAGUAUUCAUACCACUUGACUUAUUCCACAUUUUGUGUUACAGCCUGAAUUCAAAAUGGAUUCAAUUAGUUUAUUUUCUCACCAAUCUACACACACUAGCCCAUAAUGACAAACUGAAAACAUGGUUUAGAAAUGUUUGCAAAUGGAUUGAAAAUGAAAUACAGAUAUCUAAUUAACAAGUAUUCACACCCCUGAGUCAUUACAUGUUACAUUACAUGUCUUUCUGGAUUAAUCUCUCUCUAAGAGCUUUACACACCUGGGUUGUACAAUAUUUGCACAUUAUAAUUUUUUUUUUUAAAUCUUCAAGCACUGUCAAGUUGGUUGAUCAUUGUUAGACAGCCAUUAUCAAUUCUUGCCAUAGAUUUUGAAUCCGAUUUAAGUCAACUGUUUCUAGGCCACUCGGGGACAUUCAAUAUCAUCUUGGUAAGCAACCCCAGUGUAUAUUUGGCCUUGUAUUUUAGGUUAUUGUCGUGUUGAAAGGUGAAUUUGUCUCCCAGCAUCUGUUGGAAAGUAGACUCAACCAGGGUUUCCUCUAGGAUUUUACCUGUACUUAGCUCUAGUCUGUUUUAUUUUAUCCCAAAAAAACUCCCUAGUCUUUGCCGGUGACAAGCAUGCCCAUAACAUGAUGCAGCCACCACCAUGCUUGAAAAUAUGAAGAGUGGUACUCAGUGAUAUGUUGUGUUGGAUUUUCCUCAAACCUAACAAUAUUCAGGACAUAAAGUUAAUUUGUUUGCCACAAUUUUUUGCAGUUUUAGUUUAGUGCCUUAUUGCAAACAGGAUGCAUGUUUUGGAAUAUUUCUUUCUUUAGGUUAGUAUUGUGAAGGAACUAAUGUUGUUGAACCAUCCUCAGUUUCACCUAUCACAGCCAUUAAACUCUAACUGUUUUAAAGUCACCAUUGACCUCAUGGUGAAGUCCCUGAGCAGUUUCCUUCCUCUCCGUCAACUGAGUUAGGAAGGAUGCCUGAACCUUUUGUAGUGACUGGGUGUAUUGAUACACCAUCCAAAGUGCAAUAACUUAACCAUGUGCAAAGGGACAUUCAAUGUAUGUUACCAAGUAUCAUGGGCAUUCUUUGUGAGGCAUUGGAAAUCCUCCCUGGUCUUUGUGGUUGAAUCUGUGUUUAAAUUCACUGCUCGACUGAGGUACCUUGCAGAUGAUUGUAUUUUUGGGGUACAGAGAUGAGAGUCAUUCAAAAAAUCAUGUUAAACACUAUUGCACAUUGUGAGUCCAUGCAUCUAAUGUGACUUGUUAAGCAAAAAAAAAAGGGGGUUGAAUACAUUUCAGACAUUUCAGCUUUUCAUUUUUAAUUCAUUUGUGUGUAGACCCGUGACACAAAAUCGGCUUUAAUCCAUUUGAAAUUCAAGCUGUAACACAACAAUGUGGAAAAAGGUUGAGGGGUGUGAACACUUUCUGAAGACACUGUAGUUCCACCUAUAUUUGAAGCUAUGUAAUGUUGUUACUUUCAGUUUUCCUAUCAAUGUUUAUUUUCCAAUGUUUUUGUAGAACAUUAUGUGUAUGUGUGUUUAAGUACUGUAUGUAGCCUGGCAUGCUGUGCUAUGAAGUGCUAAUAAUGCUGAAUGCACAAGCUUCAACGGCAUUGCUCAACAUCACCUCCUCAUUCCAAACCUUCAUAUCUUAAAGAGAUGCUCAACGUUGUUCGUGGAAAGGUAGCGUCCUGUAGGUUUUUGCGCCAACCAUAAUCUAGCCCAUCCUAUUUAUAACAAUUAGGUGGUUGAUAAGCUGAAUUGGGUCAGUUUACAACUGCGGUUGGAGCGAAAAACCUACAAGAGGGUAGCUCUCCAGGAACAAGGUUGGGCAGCCCUGCACAUGGACCAGACAGAAUUUUACCAGCAUUUUUUUGGGUUAUACAUAACUUUCAUGAUUAAGCCAUUAUAAAUACGUUUUAAUCCUUUAUAAAUGAUUUGAAAUACCUAAUUUCAAUGUAAAUGAUGAAAUAGUCAUAUGAAUAGUAUAUAGACCCUUAACUAUUUAUACAUGUUUAGCCUAUUCAUGAAAGCCAUUAUAAGAGUGAACACAUUUUAUUAAUGGCAAUUGAGUCAUUUAAACCAGUGACAUUUCAAAAACUUUGCCAUCAGCUAAACUGCAAAAUUCACAUUAAAUGUGUUCUGUGAACAAUCGGUGUUGACCAUCAAGCCAAAUAAGUUCAGCUUUUAAAAAGUCAAUACAAAUAUGCAAAAA
RNA transcript from Oncorhynchus keta (chum salmon), 3395 nucleotides. It is a transcript of the gene named apoptosis-stimulating of p53 protein 2-like, with no coding region annotated. The transcript is spliced from 6 exons. Lineage: Eukaryota; Metazoa; Chordata; Actinopteri; Salmoniformes; Salmonidae. The record is from RefSeq and is a predicted model, not a curated record.